Melospiza melodia melodia is the source of this 676-nucleotide long non-coding RNA. RefSeq lists it as uncharacterized. The record is from RefSeq and is a predicted model, not a curated record. The transcript is spliced from 2 exons. NCBI's taxonomy places the organism in Eukaryota, Metazoa, Chordata, Aves, Passeriformes, Passerellidae.
AGGAGAGGGGACAGACACACUCCGGGUGCUGCUGUCCCCCAGGGGGAUGGAGCUCCAUCCUGCCGUGCCUGCCUCUCGUGCUGCCCCGGCUGCAGCGGGGCUGGAGCUGUUUCCAUGCGGAGCUUUAUCCCCAGGAUCUGGCUGAGGUCUGCUCCCAGCCCUGCAUGUUCGAGUUACCUCGUGUGCAAGUAAAACGUGGAGACCCUUUCCAAAGCCUUUUCCACUGGAUGAGACCUCUCCUGUGGGACACAGCCCCACUGGGGACUUUCUUUACUCAUAAGAAAAAUGAUAAUGUUUGAUGGUGGUGGCAGACUAACCUACACUACAACUUGGGUUAGUUCAUUUUAAAAAACAACAAGUUUUCACAGCUGCCUUCCUCUCCUGAAGUGCUCAUUAAAUAUACAACAAACAAAAGCAAAUCACAGCCUCCAGUCAAAUUAAUAGAGAAGAUGAAGAUGCUUCUCACCUGCACAUUGGAAUGACUCCUCUCACACCACCCAGAACUUUCUUCCACUGCUCCCCUUCUCCUCCUCUGUUGCUGUGCAUCUGCCACCCUGCAGCUGAACUUUAUAAAAUACUUUUGUGUACUUCUGGUAGUUAACACUGGAUACAUGCAUGUGUCAGUACAAACAAGUAUAAAACUCCUCCAGGUUAUUAAAAAUACAAGUGCUGAGAA